AGUGAACGCUGGCGGUAGGCCUAACACAUGCAAGUCGAGCGGCAGCACAGUAAGAGCUUGCUCUUACGGGUGGCGAGUGGCGGACGGGUGAGGAAUACAUCGGAAUCUACUUUUUCGUGGGGGAUAACGUAGGGAAACUUACGCUAAUACCGCAUACGACCUACGGGUGAAAGCAGGGGAUCUUCGGACCUUGCGCGAUUGAAUGAGCCGAUGUCGGAUUAGCUAGUUGGCGGGGUAAAGGCCCACCAAGGCGACGAUCCGUAGCUGGUCUGAGAGGAUGAUCAGCCACACUGGAACUGAGACACGGUCCAGACUCCUACGGGAGGCAGCAGUGGGGAAUAUUGGACAAUGGGCGCAAGCCUGAUCCAGCCAUACCGCGUGGGUGAAGAAGGCCUUCGAGUUGUAAAGCCCUUUUGUUGGGAAAGAAAAGCAGCAGGUUAAUACCCCGCUGUUCUGACGGUACCCAAAGAAUAAGCACCGGCUAACUUCGUG
Molecule: ribosomal RNA, 492 nt
Filed under: uncultured bacterium
Lineage: Bacteria
Description: partial 16S ribosomal RNA
Rfam family: Bacterial small subunit ribosomal RNA
Source: RNAcentral